RNAcentral lists this long non-coding RNA (1277 nucleotides) under Olea europaea subsp. europaea. The record is from RNAcentral. Lineage: Eukaryota; Viridiplantae; Streptophyta; Magnoliopsida; Lamiales; Oleaceae.
GUUUGACCCAAGGGCUCCCCAAGGUGUCUCGAACCCUAACAUCUUGAAAUCCAUUUCUCCAAAAUCUCACGCAAAGGCUUUACGUUCCAAGAAGAAAGGAGAGAAGAUGUUGAAGAAGACUUCCAUGGCGGUUCCAUCCUUUCGGAUCUUCGUCUCCCCUUUGCGCUUGGUGUGUGAGUUUUUUCACCUUGCAUUAUUUAUUAUACCAGAAUAAGUGUCUGGUCUGAUUUAUUUUUUUUAAAUUUUAUUUUGGGAAAAAUAUCUAUUUUUCAUUGGAUUUGAGUUUGAUUCUAUACUUACCCAUUUGAUUUCAACUCAAGAUCAUUUUUUAAGUUUAAAAUUUAUACCCAAAAAAUUCUAUUGUUAUUUACCAUCGAUUUCCAGAAUCUAGGUUUAUUUAUUUAUUUAAUUGGGGGGUUGUUUAUUGAAGCUUAAUGCUUCUUUAAUUGAUAUUAUACGUAAAUGGUAUCUAAGCUCUGGGUUCUUGUAAUGUAAUGUAAUGUAAAACCCAUAUGAAUUUUAAGUCAAUUUAUUUAUGUGAAUUAUGUGGUGGUGGGCGUUUAAUUUAUUCUGAAAUUCAUGUCAGUAAACUAUAUGAAACGGAUACGAUGAUCUGGAAUUUUGUAUACGGUUCUUAUUUUUGGACAGAAUGGCAAGACUUGUAGAUCGUGGUAGUUCUACUCAGCGAUCGUUGUCGCAGUGCCAGCACCUGCUAAGUUAGCUAGGAACAUCAAUGACAAUACCUAUUAUGUGGCUGGAAUUUGAGAAACGCAUGGAGGUCGCUAAGAAGACCGAAAAUGAAAGAUGGCUAUUCUUUUGUUGUAGUAAUGAUUGCAGUCAUUACAAGUGGAACGACGUUUCGUUUGGUGGAAUUAAACAUGUGCAACUUGAUUGUGAGUCCAAUGGUGAGUCAUGAUAUACUUGUUUGGGUAGCUCUCAUCCCAAGUAUCCAAUUGAAGAUUUUUCCCAUGUAUUGAAGAAUUUGGUUCGCAUAAUCGCUAUGAAUAUGUGGAAAUCUCAUCAAGUUUUUUCUAAUUACACUUUUAUAUGCAUUCGAACAUUGUAGCCUUUAGCUUUGCACUAUAUAAUAAUAAUAAUAUGUUUUGGUUGGACCUCCUUCCAGGCUCCAUUAGGUGACAAAGCUUUUGUACAAGAUAUGGAGUGAAGAUCAUUUAAAAACACUUGAUUUGUAGUUCCCAAUAGUUCUCCAUCAAGGGAAUUCUUAAUUGGUAGGUACAUGUACGAUUUAUUGUUAAAAACAACAAAAAUAUUAAUCC